RNAcentral lists this ribosomal RNA (120 nucleotides) under Lepisosteus oculatus (spotted gar). Lineage: Eukaryota; Metazoa; Chordata; Actinopteri; Semionotiformes; Lepisosteidae. The record is from RNAcentral.
UCCAGCAGCCAUAUCACUCACAACUCACAACUGGCAACCAAUUGAAGCUAAGCAGGUGUGAGGCUGGUCAGUACCUGGAUGGGAGACCUCCUGGGAAAAAAACUAAGGUAGCUGCUGGAA